Molecule: ribosomal RNA, 3925 nt
Filed under: Candidatus Terrybacteria bacterium RIFCSPHIGHO2_02_41_19
Lineage: Bacteria; Candidatus Terryibacteriota
Description: 23S ribosomal RNA
Rfam family: Bacterial large subunit ribosomal RNA
Source: RNAcentral
AAUAGGAAAUUUAAGGGCGUAUGGUGGAUGCCUUGACUCAAAGAGGCGAUGAAGGACGCGGUAUAGCUGCGAUAAGCUUCGGGGAGGCGCCGAACAGCCUUUGAUCCGGAGAUUUCCGAAUGGGGAUGAACCCUGUCCGCUAAAAGCGGACAAUCUCUCGAGCAAUCGAGAGAAGCGAACCCUGGGAAGUGAAACAUCUCAGUACCAGGUGGAAAAUAGAACAAUAGUUAUUCCCUAAGUAGUGGCGAGCGAAAAGGGAAGAGCCCAAACCAACGUGCUUCGCACGCAGUUUGAAAGUCCAUAAAGUCAAAAGUCCAUAAAGCGAAUUGAAUUUUACUUUACAGACUUUACAGACUUUUAACUUUUGACUUGCGCGCGGAGCGCGCUGGGGUUGUAAGAGACAGCAAUGGUUUACCAAGGAAGUUUUAAAAAUCGGAGUUGUUAAUUGAAUCAGCUGGAAAGCUGAACCACAGAAGGUAAUAGUCCUGUAAGUGAAAACAAUCUCCAUACUUUCAGCUGUCAUCUUGAGUAAUUCGGGACACGAAUGGCCCGGGUGAAUCAUCCAGAACUAACUGGAAAGGCUAAAUACUCUUUGAGAUCGAUAGUGAACAANNNNNNNNNNGCAGCCCGGUGAGGGCGAUGAAAUAGUAUCUGAAACCAUAUGUCUACAAGGAGUCGGAGUCCCGACGCAAGUCGCGGACGACGGCGUGCCUAUUGAAGAAUGAGCCAACGAGUUAAUUUAUGUUGCUUGCUUAAGCCGAUGAAUCGGCGGAGGCGCAGCGAAAGCGAGUCUUAAAAGGCGCCGUAGCAUAAAUUAGACCCGAAACCAGGUGAACUUACCAUGGAUAGGAUGAAUCCGCCGUAAAUGGCGGAGGAGGUCCGAACCCUUUAGCCGUGCAAAACUAUGGGAUAAUCUGUGGUAUGGAGUGAAAAGCUCAUCGAACCUGGUAAUAGCUGGUUCUCUCCGAAAUAGCUUUAGGGCUAGCGUCCGUUUUACCUUCCGGGGGUAGAGCACUGGAUGGUCUGCACAGGGAGCAAUCUCGGCAGACCAAUCAAACUCCGAAUACCGGAAGUCAUUAACGGGCAGUCAGACCGUGGGGGCUAAGCUUCACUGGUCAAAAGGGGAACAGCCCGAAUCUCAAUCUAAGGUCCCUAAAUCUCUGCUAAGUGUACUUAAGGAAGUGAAAUUUCUAUGACAGCGAGGAGGUUGGCUUAGAAGCAGCCAUCCUUUAAAGAGUGCGUAACAGCUCACUCGCUAAGAGGUUUUGCGCCGCAAAUAAUCGGGACUCAAGCAGAGUACCGAAGGUGAGGGCGCGAGCAAAGCUCGCAGUUUGAAAGUCCAUAAAGUCAAAAGUCCAUAAAGUGAAUUUUAAUUUCACUUUAAGAACUUUAUAAACUUUAAACUUUUGACUUGCGAGCUUUGCUCGCGCGGUAGGAGAGUAUUCGCAACCGCUGUGAAGUCCACGACGCGAGUCGGGAUGGAGCGUUGCGAAGUAAGAAUGUUGGCACAAGUAACCGCAAUCUCUGUUAAAUUCAGAGACGCCGAAAACCUAAGGUUUCCUUGACAAUGUUGAUCAUUCAAGGGUUAGUCGGGCCUAAGCCGAUGGCGAAAGCCGCAGGCGAUGGACAAACGGUUAAUAUUCCGUUACCUUCUUAUUUUUUCGAUGGAGCGACGGAGGUCAGUAUGUUGAGCGCAUUAUUGGAUUUGCGUUAUUGGCGUGAGGAAUAUCGGCAGGCAAAUCCGCCGGUAUCUUUAAAUAGAGAUUCCAAGCGUUGAUAAAAUGUUCCGCUUUCGGGCGGGAUGAAUUCAACAAAGCGGCCUUCCAAGAAAAACUUCUAGAGUUAAGAAUAAGGAGUCCGUACCGAAAACCGACACAGGUGGGUAAGUCGAGUAGACUAAGGCGAACGAGUGAGAGUUUCCCAAGGAACUAGGCAAAAAAGCGACCGUAACUUCGGGAUAAGGUCUACCCGCUGAUGAUAUAGCAAUAUAUAUGUAAGCGGGUCGCAGCGAAAGUUCCUCUGGCGACUGUUUAUCUAAAACACAGCUCCCUGCUAACUCGUAAGAGGAUGUAUAGGGGGCGACGCUUGACCAAUGCGAGAAGGUCAAAAGGCGCUGGUCUUAUGCCGCAAGGCGUAAGGCUNNNNNNNNNNNGUUCCUUGUCAGGUAAGUUCUGACGCGCACGAAAAGCGUAACGACCGGAGGACUGUCUCGGGAAAUUGCUCGGUGAAAAUACAAUACCGGUGAAGAUGCCGGUUACCUGCAGCUAGACGAAAAGACCCCGGAAGCUUUACUACAACUUGGUAUUGGCUUUAGGUUUUUGAUGCGUAGCAUAGGCGGGAGGCUUUGAAGUUCUUCUCUCGGGGAGAAUGGAGCCGCCAGUGAAAUACCGCUCUUUAAAAAUUUAAAAUCUAACCUUCGCGGCAAAAACGCGAGGAGACAGUGCCUGGCGGGUAGUUUGAUUGGGGCGAUUCCCUCCCAAAGAGUAACGGAGGGGUCUACAAAGGUCGGCUAGGCGCGGAUGGAAACCGCUCCGAUAGCGCAAUGGCAAAAGCCGGCUUAACUGCAAGACGGACAUGUCGAGCAGAUGCGAAAGCAGAGCAUAGUGAACCGACCAUUCGCAUUAGAUGCGGUGGAGGAUUAACGGAUAAAAGCUACUCCGGGGAUAACAGGCUGGUAGUGCCCAAGAGUUCAUAUCGACGGCACUGUUCGGCACCUUAACAUUAUCGGGGUGCGUCGCGAGAAAUCGCGCGGCCGAAAUCAAACGCAUUUUAGGAGAAUGUGUUUUGAUUAAAAUAUUGGCUUAUAACGGUGAACUCCAUGCUAUGAUAUAGACAUGGACAAUACCGCGGGAAGUCUGACCAAACUUGAACGAUCUAUAAUAAUCGGCUCUAUUUUGGGAGACGGGUAUAUGAGAAUUAUGCCCGGCAGAUCCGACGCUUUUUUGGAAAUAAAUCAUUCCGUGAAAGCAAAAGAUUAUGUUGAUUACAAAUUCAAUAAACUGAAAAGAAUUUGCGAAUCUGUUCCAAAAGAAAGAGCGACAAAUGAGGAUCGUCAUGCGUAUAGAUUUUUUACAAAACAGCAUAAGGACUUAACAACUCUUUACGGCUUGUUUUACAAAAACAAACGCAAAAUAAUACCAAAAAACCUUGAGCUUGAUCCGAUGUCCAUCGCCAUUUGGUAUAUGGAUGACGGGAGCAAAUCAAGAGACAGCGAUGUUUAUUUGAACACGCAACAGUUUAGUUUACUAGAUCAGAAAAAAUUAUUAAACUGUUUGAGAAAAUUUGGCAUUAACGCGCGUUUAAACAAGGACAAAAAAUACUAUCGCAUAAGAAUACUGAAAGAAAGUAUUCAAAACUUUAUGGACAUUGUCGCGCCGUAUAUGGCGCCGUCAAUGAAAUACAAGUUGGUUAUGACCCUGUAGAGACUGAUGCGAAAGCAGAGAGUGUUCCAAGUUAGGGACGCUAAAACGCCAACUCCUCAUCACGAUUUGAUUGUCGCGAAAGGAUGAAGAUAUAGUCCAUACCAUUAGUAAUAAUGGAGAAAUAUACGAUGUCGGCUCAACCUAUCCUGGGGGUGGAGAAGCUCCCAAGGGUUUGGCUGUUCGCCAAUUAAAAGGUUACGUGAGCUGGGUUCAAACCGUCGUGAGACAGGUUGGUCUCCUAUCUGCUGCAGGCGUUAGAUUUUUGAGGAGCUCUGCUCUCUGUACGAGAGGAUCAGAGUGGACCGACCUCUGGUGUGCCGGCUGUCCUGCCAAGGGCAACGCCGGGUAGCUAUGUCGGGAUGGGAUAAUCGCUGAAAGCAUCUAAGCGAGAAACCCGCUCCAAGAUUAGAAAUCAUAGACAGGUCGCAGAUUACGACCUUGAUAGGCUUUAGGUGUAAGCGCGGCAACGCGUUGAGCCGAGAAGUACUAAUUGUCUGAUUCCU